AUUGAACGCUGGCGGCAGGCCUAACACAUGCAAGUCGAGCGGAUGAAGGGAGCUUGCUCCUGGCUUCAGCGGCGGACGGGUGAGUAAUGCCUAGGAAUCUGCCUGGUAGCGGUGGAUAACGUCCGGAAACGGGCGCUAAUACCGCAUACUUCCUGACGGUGAAAGUGGGGGAUCUUCGGACCUCUCGCUAUCAGAUGAGCCUAGGUCGGAUUUGAUAGUUGGUGGGGUAAAGGCCUACCAAGGCGACGAUCCGUAACUGGUCUGGGAGGAUGAUAAGUCACACUGGAACUGGGACACGGUCCAGACUCCUACGGGAGGCAGCAGUCGGGAAUAUUGGACAAUGGGCGAAAGCCUGAUCCAGCCAUGCCGCGUGUGUGAAGAAGGUCUUCGGAUUGUAAAGCACUUUAAGUUGGGAGGAAGGGCAGUAAGUUAAUACCUUGCUGUUUUGACGUUACCAACAGAAUAAGCACCGGCUAACUUCGUG
Molecule: ribosomal RNA, 484 nt
Filed under: uncultured bacterium
Lineage: Bacteria
Description: partial 16S ribosomal RNA
Rfam family: Bacterial small subunit ribosomal RNA
Source: RNAcentral